GAUGAACGCUAGCGGGAGGCUUAACACAUGCAAGUCGAGGGGCAUCACGGUGUAGCAAUACACUGGUGGCGACCGGCGCACGGGUGAGUAACGCGUAUGUAACCUACCCUGUACUGGGGGAUAGCCCGGAGAAAUCCGGAUUAAUACCCCAUAAAGAUAUUGAGAGGCAUCUUUUAAUAUUUAAAACUCAGGUGGUACGGGAUGGGCAUGCGUGACAUUAGCUAGUUGGUAAGGUAACGGCUUACCAAGGCUGCGAUGUCUAGGGGUCCUGAGAGGGUGAUCCCCCACACUGGUACUGAGACACGGACCAGACUCCUACGGGAGGCAGCAGUGAGGAAUAUUGGUCAAUGGGCGCAAGCCUGAACCAGCCAUCCCGCGUGAAGGAAGAAGGCGCUAUGCGUUGUAAACUUCUUUUCCAGGGGGCGAAUAGCUUCUACGUGUAGGGGUAUGACGGUACCCUGGGAAUAAGCAUCGGCUAACUCCGUGCCAGCAGCCGCGGU
This 500-nucleotide ribosomal RNA is filed under the name uncultured bacterium. RNAcentral's name for it is "bacterial SSU rRNA". It matches the Rfam family "Bacterial small subunit ribosomal RNA", at positions 28 to 521 of the family's 1533-position model. The record is from RNAcentral.